Molecule: transfer RNA, 100 nt
Filed under: Xylaria acuta
Lineage: Eukaryota; Fungi; Ascomycota; Sordariomycetes; Xylariales; Xylariaceae
Description: tRNA-Ala
Rfam family: tRNA
About the family: Transfer RNA (tRNA) molecules are approximately 80 nucleotides in length.
Source: RNAcentral
GGGCGAAUGGUCUAGGGGUAUGAUACUCCCUUCGCAUCUCUAAAUACCAUUAGAAUAUCGCGUCUGGGAGGGGUCCGGGGUUCAAUUCCCCGUUCGUCCA